CUUGCCCUGUGUACAUUUUUGUAUUUGAUGCAAUAAGUUUCCUUUACUGUCUAUGUCUGAAUUUGUUUGGCUACAAAAACCAUCCAAAAUUAUAUAAUCAAACUAAUGCCCUUCACUAACUUCAUCAAAACAAAUAUCAGUAAUUCGAUAACUCUACCAUUUCAAUGUCUGCCUCUAUAACAUCUCCAGAGUCCUUGAUCGGAGAUCAAAGUACAAAUAUGAAGGAAAGACAUGCAGAAACAUGCAUGAGAAGAUCAUGGCCUGGAUGGCCUCUGGGACCAUAAUGAAGCCUUAUGAUGUGAACGACACACGACCUGUGGUAGAGCAUCCCCCAUCUCCUGUGGGCGCAACCCAUAAACCUGUGAGUGAAAGAGGCAGCCUGAUAGAUGAUUUUGCCGUAGAACUACCCAGAUUCAAUGUGACAUCAUCACAGUAAUAUUUGGCUACUCUAGUCUACAUAUGCCUGUUAGUGCUUUUUUUUAAAAAAAAAAAACUAUUUUUUAAAUUUAUUUUAUAGAGAACACGAGAGAAAGAGAGAGAGAAAUGAGCAGAGAGAGAGGGAGAAGCAGGCUCCCCACUGAGCAAGGAGCCUGAUGUGGGACUCGCUCCCAGGACCCCGGGAUCAUGACCUGAGCUGAAGGCAGACACUUAACCGACUGAGUCGCCCAGGUGGCCCACCUGUUAUUCUGGUAAAAACUACACGUUGUUCAAGGUGCCGUUCACCUCACCAGAAUUGCGCCCGCCUAUUUCAUGCAUGGAACUUGGACUUUAGGAAGGGAUGCAAUUUACAGUAUCUGUGGUACAGCCUCUUGUGGUUGCUCGUGGCAGCCUGGGUGGCACUAUACGGAGAUGAGCCAUGAGCUCUGAAUCUCAGUGACACCUGGGUCACACUAAACGUGAACUGCAAAUGGAAGUCGGGCCAUGUGACAUUAUGAUCAAUUAUGGGCGAAACCUUUAUGGGCGAGAAAAGGUAGAUUAGCUGCAGUGAUAAACCCAAAAUCUCAGGGGGUUAGCGAAAACUCAGGCAUAUUUUUCACUCAUGUAAAGUCUAGGAGACCAUCCAGACCAAAUAUUCUUCAUGCUGUGACUCAGUGAUACAGGCUGACGGAGGCCCCAUCAUACCACACCUGUGUCAUCUGGCACACAUGGCUCUCAUGGCCAAUGAGGCAGGCAAAGGGAAUGCAAAAGGGUCUUCUAUUGGCUAUUAAAUAUCUCAUCUUGG
This 1222-nucleotide long non-coding RNA is filed under the name Vulpes vulpes (red fox). Its description in RNAcentral is "lncRNA (ENSVVUG00000011651.1)". The record is from RNAcentral. Lineage: Eukaryota; Metazoa; Chordata; Mammalia; Carnivora; Canidae.